This 468-nucleotide ribosomal RNA is filed under the name uncultured bacterium. Its description in RNAcentral is "partial 16S ribosomal RNA". It matches the Rfam family "Bacterial small subunit ribosomal RNA", at positions 28 to 507 of the family's 1533-position model. The record is from RNAcentral.
GACGAACGCUGGCGGCGUGCUUAACACAUGCAAGUCGAACGGAAAGGACCUGCUUUUGUGGGGUGCUCAAGUGGCGAACGGGUGAGUAUCACGUGUGUAUCCUCCCCUUGACUUUGGGAUAACUUCAGGAAACUCGGUCUAUUACCGGAUAUGAGCACCUGCUGCAUGGUGCGGUUUGUAAAGUGUCGUCGGUUGGGGAUGGACUCGCGGCUCUGCGGCUUGUUGGUGGGGUUGUGGCUUACCAAGGCGUGGACGGGUAGCCGGCCUGCGAGGGUGACCGGCCACAGUGGGACUGAGGUACGGGCCAGACGGCUACGGGGGGCAGCAGGGGAGAAUAUUGCAAGAUGGGCGGAAGGCGGAUGCAGCAACGCCGCGUGGUGGAUGACGGCUGUCGGGUUGGAAACCGUGUGCGCCUGUGACGAAGCGUGAGUGACGGUAAUGGGUAAAGAAGCACCGGCUAACUACGUG